UCAUCCCUACGGGACGCAGCAGUGAGGAAUAUUGGUCAGUGGGCGGGAGCCUGAACCAGCCAAGCCGCGUGAGGGAAGAAGGUACAGCGUAUCGUAAACCUCUUUUGUCAGGGAACAAAGGCGGGGACUAGUCCCCGGAUGAGGGUACCUGAAGAAAAAGCAUCGGCUAAAUCCGUGCCAGCAGCCGCGGUAAUACGGAGGAUGCGAGCGUUAUCCGGGUUUAUUGGGUUUAAUGGGUGCGCAGGCGGCCUGUU
RNAcentral lists this ribosomal RNA (254 nucleotides) under uncultured bacterium. Its description in RNAcentral is "partial 16S ribosomal RNA". It matches the Rfam family "Bacterial small subunit ribosomal RNA", at positions 333 to 584 of the family's 1533-position model. The record is from RNAcentral.